GUGCAGCAGGCGCGAAACUUUACAAUGUGCGAAAGCACGAUAAGGGAACUCUGAGUGCCUCCUAAGGAGGCUGUUCAGGUGUCUAAAAGCACCUGAAGGAAGGGCUGGGUAAGACCGGUGCCAGCCGCCGCGGUAACACCGGCAGCCCAAGUGGUAGCCACGUUUAUUGGGUCUAAAGCGUCCGUAGCCGGCUGGGUAAGUUCCUUGGGAAAUUUGGCUGCUUAACAGUCAAGCUUUCAGGGAAUACUGCCCGGCUUGGGACCGGGAGAGGUCAGAGGUACUCCAGGGGUAGGGGUGAAAUCCAUUAAUCCUUGGGGGACCACCGGUAGCGAAGGCGUCUGACCAGACCGGGUCCGACGGUGAGGGACGAAGGCUAGGGGCGCGAACCGGAUUAGAUA
RNAcentral lists this ribosomal RNA (398 nucleotides) under uncultured microorganism. RNAcentral's name for it is "bacterial SSU rRNA". It matches the Rfam family "Archaeal small subunit ribosomal RNA", at positions 330 to 735 of the family's 1478-position model. The record is from RNAcentral.